GCUCUCCUACGGGGCGCAGCAGUGGGGAAUAUUGCACAAUGGGGGAAACCCUGAUGCAGCGACGCCGCAUGAGUGAAGAAGUAUCUCGGUAUGUAAAGCUCUAUCAGCAGGAAAGAUAAUGACGGUACCUGACUAAGAAGCACCGGCUAAAUACGUGCCAGCAGCCGCGGUAAUACGUAUGGUGCAAGCGUUAUCCGGAUUUACUGGGUGUAAAGGGAGCGCAGGCGGUGCGGCAAGACUGAUGUGAAAGCCCGGGGCUCAACCCCGGGACUGCAUUGGAAACUACCGAACUAGAGUGUCGGAGA
This 305-nucleotide ribosomal RNA is filed under the name uncultured bacterium. RNAcentral describes it as "bacterial SSU rRNA". It matches the Rfam family "Bacterial small subunit ribosomal RNA", at positions 333 to 655 of the family's 1533-position model. The record is from RNAcentral.